CAGUCGCCGCGGUAAUACGUAGGUGGCAAGCGUUGUCCGGAAUUAUUGGGCGUAAAGCGCGCGCAGGUGGUUUAAUAAGUCUGAUGUGAAAGCCCACGGCUCAACCGUGGAGGGUCAUUGGAAACUGUUAAACUUGAGUGCAGGAGAGAAAAGUGGAAUUCCUAGUGUAGCGGUGAAAUGCGUAGAGAUUAGGAGGAACACCAGUGGCGAAGGCGGCCUUUUGGCCUGUAACUGACACUGAGGCGCGAAAGCGUGGGGAGCAAACAGGAUUAGAGACCCCCGUAGUCCCUGUCUCUUAUAC
RNAcentral lists this ribosomal RNA (301 nucleotides) under uncultured bacterium. RNAcentral's name for it is "partial 16S ribosomal RNA". It matches the Rfam family "Bacterial small subunit ribosomal RNA", at positions 509 to 807 of the family's 1533-position model. The record is from RNAcentral.